Neogale vison (American mink) is the source of this 309-nucleotide long non-coding RNA. RefSeq lists it as uncharacterized. The transcript is spliced from 3 exons. The record is from RefSeq and is a predicted model, not a curated record. NCBI's taxonomy places the organism in Eukaryota, Metazoa, Chordata, Mammalia, Carnivora, Mustelidae.
GCGGGGAAGGGAAGCUUCCUGGAGAGAGGAGGGAAGUGUUUGCUUCUCCUCCCAAUGACCCCCAUCCACAAGGUUACAAAACAGCAUGCACCACCCUAAAUCUCUUUUCCCAAAGCAAUUCUUCAAAUCCAUUUUCUUGGUCCAACCUCACUUCAAGGGGAAAAGAAGAGAUUUAUUGUACCAUUCUGCAGAUGGAGAAACUGAUACUCAGAAAAGCAAAAUGAUUCACUGAAGGUCAGAGAACUAAUUGGGGACCAAAACAUUUGCAAUUAAGUACGGCUUCAAGGGACACCUGCGUGGCUCAGUGGG